This 75-nucleotide transfer RNA is filed under the name Thermofilum pendens. RNAcentral's name for it is "tRNA-Phe". It matches the Rfam family "tRNA". Rfam says of the family: Transfer RNA (tRNA) molecules are approximately 80 nucleotides in length. Their secondary structure includes four short double-helical elements and three loops (D, anti-codon, and T loops). RNAcentral also lists the same sequence under 2 other names. Lineage: Archaea; Thermoproteati; Thermoproteota; Thermoprotei; Thermofilales; Thermofilaceae. The record is from RNAcentral.
GCCGCGGUAGCUCAGCGGGAGAGCAUCCGGCUGAAGACCGGAGGGUCCCGGGUUCAAAUCCCGGCCGCGGCACCA